Molecule: ribosomal RNA, 405 nt
Filed under: uncultured bacterium
Lineage: Bacteria
Description: partial 16S ribosomal RNA
Rfam family: Bacterial small subunit ribosomal RNA
Source: RNAcentral
AUUGAACGCUGGCGGCAGGCUUAACACAUGCAAGUCGAACGAGUGGCGGACGGGUGAGUAAUGCUUGGGAAUCUAGCUUAUGGAGGGGGAUAACUACGGGAAACUGUAGCUAAUACCGCGUACCAUAGGCGGAGCCCAAGUGGGAUUAGGUAGUUGGUGGGGUAAAGGCUCACCAAGACGACGAUCUCUAGCGGGUCUGAGAGGAUGAACAGCCACACGGGUACUGAGACACGGCCCAGACUCCUACGGGAGGCAGCAUUGGGGAAUAUUGCGCAAUGGGGGAAACCUGACUCAGCCAUGCCGCGUGAAUGAAGAAGGCCUUCGGGUUUUAAAGUUCUUUCGGUAGCGAGGCGUUAACUACAGAAGAAGCACCGGCUAACUCCGUGCCAGCAGCCGCGGUAAUUC